GAAGCAACGCGAAGAACCUUUACCAAAUCUUGACAUCCUUUGACCACUCUAGAGAUAGAGCUUUCCCCUUCGGGGGACAAAGGACAGGUGGUGCAUGGUUGUCGUCAGCUCGUGUCGUGAGAUGUUGGGUUAAGUCCCGCAACGAGCGCAACCCUUAAGCUUAGUUGCCAUCAUUAAGUUGGGCACUCUAGGUUGACUGCCGGUGACAAACCGGAGGAAGGUGGGGAUGACGUCAAAUCAUCAUGCCCCUUAUGAUUUGGGCUACACACGUGCUACAAUGGACAAUACAAAGGGCAGCUAAACCGCGAGGUCAUGCAAAUCCCAUAAAGUUGUUCUCAGUUCGGAUUGUAGUCUGCAACUCGACUACAUGAAGCUGGAAUCGNUAGUAAUCGUAGAUCAGCAUGCUACGGUGAAUACGUUCCCGGGUCUUGUACACACCGCCCGUCACACCACGAGAGUUUGUAACACCCGAAGCCGGU
RNAcentral lists this ribosomal RNA (479 nucleotides) under Staphylococcus gallinarum. RNAcentral describes it as "bacterial SSU rRNA". It matches the Rfam family "Bacterial small subunit ribosomal RNA", at positions 953 to 1431 of the family's 1533-position model. The record is from RNAcentral. Lineage: Bacteria; Bacillati; Bacillota; Bacilli; Caryophanales; Staphylococcaceae.